This 74-nucleotide unclassified non-coding RNA is filed under the name Rhizobiales bacterium GAS113. Lineage: Bacteria; Pseudomonadati; Pseudomonadota; Alphaproteobacteria; Hyphomicrobiales. The record is from RNAcentral.
GGGAGCCGUAUGCCCGAAUUGGGCCCGUACGGAUCUGAGCGGGGGCGCUCAGUAAUGAGCGUCCCUACCGCGAU